CCUUCAUCUCCUUUCUUCUCUUAUGUUUGUUGGAUCGCACUGCAUCCCAUCUUAAAAUCUGUAAACCUCUAAGUUUCUGAGCAUAAUGUGAUUGUGAUAGAACACCAUGUAAUUUCUUCAUACUUGAUUAUGCUCCUACUUGAGAAAUCGCUGCGGUCUAGGGUUAAUUUUGCAUCCUGGUAACUUAGUAUAAUUAUGAUUGCGAACAGGUAUCACCCAAUAGAAAUUUGGAUGGUCUGCUCUGGUGAUUGCAUCUCGUGAUUAUUCCUGUGUACUACCUAUAUUAGUAUAAUUAUGCAUCAGUGCUUCUGUACAAUCUUUUAUUCAGGUCCAAUCCUAUUAUUUAGUAGUUGUGUCUUUCUCGCUGGUCAUAGAAAUAAGUAUUUGAGAGAUUAAGUCCUGCUUUCUUUCUUUUCAAAAAUUAUAGCUUAUCCUGUCUUUUUGUUCCGAAAUAAAUACUUGUGGCUUCUUGCUAUUACCUCUAUUUAAUACGUCAAAGGUUUAUAAUUGUGAAGUAUCUUGGCAGCCUGGAGAACAGAGCUGCAGCGAGAUUGGAAGUGUUUGAUUGGUUAACAAAAGCUUCUAGGUGGAUAUACUGCAGCCUGCAGCUCUUUAGGUUCAUUCAAAUCUCCACGAUUUGGGUUAAGAAAAGCUGUGAACCUAGUUGAUUUUUGUUUUCAAUUGAUUAUUGUUUUCUCAUAUUAAGUAUUCUCUCGGCUAUCCAUGGUUCAGUUAUUAGUUUUCUCUCGGCUAUACUACCAUGCCAAUAAGAAAACCUUUUCUCUUUCAUCUUCUAUCCAUGAUUCAGUUAUAAGUUUUCUCGUGGCUAUACUGCCAUGCCAAUAAGAAAACCUCUUCUCUUCCAUUUUCCUGAAUAUUUCUAUCUGUAAGUAGUAACCACCCCCAACAAAGCAAAAUGAUUGCUUCCUAUUUUUUCCUUCUUUCCGUACAGUGAUGAUGCUAUCCUUUGUAGGUAUUUUUGAAGCAACCUCUUUUUUGAUCGCUCAAAGAAAAGCCCUUUUUAGAGGCCCGUAUACUGUGAAAAUAAAGUGCUCCACAAUCAGAUGCCAAUUUGAGCACUUCUAAGCUGAAGAAUGUAAUACCUAGGAGGUAUCACCUGCAGAUGUUGGAAACUCCAUGUGAUACAGUGAUAGCUGGUGGCAGUGACAAUGGACAAAGGAGGUAUUACCCUUGACUUCACAAUUUGCAUGACCUAAUCCAAACUUUGUUUGUAUAAUUCUGUCUGAACUGCUUUCUUGAUAAUUUGUAAAGUAUCAUAAGAUCUAAAUUGUUCAACUGUGGGGUACUUUAGGGCAUUGGAACCAAAUACUUGUAUACACUUACUAUAUUUUUUCCAUACAGUGUUUGAUCAAACGGACAGAUCUGCUAUAUCUUGCUAAAGGCCAUGGUUUAUUUUUUAUCAAGUUUCAUAGAAGUUCUGAAAGAGCUGGAACACAGGCAUUUCAGUCCUGCUUCAGAGAUGAACAAAUUGCAAGGCACAUCAUGCAUAUGUUUUGUUGUACAGUUGAGGAUAUGAUCAUGAGGAGAACGAAGGAUUAUUUGAGUGAAUGCAUUUCGGGAUAAAUUAGUCAUAUGUUCAAUUUCAGUUUUUUUUAUCCCUGUAUGCUAUCAACAACCAUGUAAAGAGAAUCCUUGUAACUGAAAUUAUUUAUCUAAUAAGAUCAUUCUCAAUUUUUUUUA
Molecule: long non-coding RNA, 1701 nt
Organism: Panicum virgatum (switchgrass)
Lineage: Eukaryota; Viridiplantae; Streptophyta; Magnoliopsida; Poales; Poaceae
Exons: 2
Source: RefSeq, a predicted model, not a curated record